This 253-nucleotide ribosomal RNA is filed under the name uncultured bacterium. RNAcentral's name for it is "partial 16S ribosomal RNA". It matches the Rfam family "Bacterial small subunit ribosomal RNA", at positions 524 to 776 of the family's 1533-position model. The record is from RNAcentral.
UACGGGGGGUGCGAGCGUUGUCCGGAAUCACUGGGCGUAAAGGGCGCGUAGGUGGUUUGAUAAGGGUGUGGUGAAAGUCCGGGGCUCAACCCCGGAUCUGCCGUGCCGACUGUCAAACUCGAGGACUGUAGAGGCAGACGGAAUUCCGGGUGUAGCGGUGGAAUGCGUAGAGAUCCGGAGGAAGGCCGGUGGCGAAGGCGGUCUGCUGGGGUGAGGCUGACGCUGAGGCGCGACAGCGUGGGGAGCAAACAGG